AUUAAGAGCUUGCUCUUAUGAAGUUAGCGGCGGACGGGUGAGUAACACGUGGGUAACCUGCCCAUAAGACUGGGAUAACUCCGGGAAACCGGGGCUAAUACCGGAUAACAUUUUGAACCGCAUGGUUCGAAAUUGAAAGGCGGCUUCGGCUGUCACUUAUGGAUGGACCCGCGUCGCAUUAGCUAGUUGGUGAGGUAACGGCUCACCAAGGCAACGAUGCGUAGCCGACCUGAGAGGGUGAUCGGCCACACUGGGACUGAGACACGGCCCAGACUCCUACGGGAGGCAGCAGUAGGGAAUCUUCCGCAAUGGACGAAAGUCUGACGGAGCAACGCCGCGUGAGUGAUGAAGGCUUUCGGGUCGUAAAACUCUGUUGUUAGGGAAGAACAAGUGCUAGUUGAAUAAGCUGGCACCUUGACGGUACCUAACCAGAAAGCCACGGCUAACUACGUGCCAGCAGCCGCGGUAAUACGUAGGUGGCAAGCGUUAUCCGGAAUUAUUGGGCGUAAAGCGCGCGCAGGUGGUUUCUUAAGUCUGAUGUGAAAGCCCACGGCUCAACCGUGGAGGGUCAUUGGAAACUGGGAGACUUGAGUGCAGAAGAGGAAAGUGGAAUUCCAUGUGUAGCGGUGAAAUGCGUAGAGAUAUGGAGGAACACCAGUGGCGAAGGCGACUUUCUGGUCUGU
This 683-nucleotide ribosomal RNA is filed under the name Bacillus cereus. Its description in RNAcentral is "bacterial SSU rRNA". It matches the Rfam family "Bacterial small subunit ribosomal RNA", at positions 71 to 737 of the family's 1533-position model. The record is from RNAcentral. Lineage: Bacteria; Bacillati; Bacillota; Bacilli; Caryophanales; Bacillaceae.